This 628-nucleotide ribosomal RNA is filed under the name Fusarium sp. Its description in RNAcentral is "partial large subunit ribosomal RNA". It matches the Rfam family "Eukaryotic large subunit ribosomal RNA", at positions 77 to 729 of the family's 3401-position model. Lineage: Eukaryota; Fungi; Ascomycota; Sordariomycetes; Hypocreales; Nectriaceae. The record is from RNAcentral.
GCCCUAGUAACGGCGAGUGAAGCGGCAACAGCUCAAAUUUGAAAUCUGGCUCUCGGGCCCGAGUUGUAAUUUGUAGAGGAUACUUUUGAUGCGGUGCCUUCCGAGUUCCCUGGAACGGGACGCCAUAGAGGGUGAGAGCCCCGUCUGGUUGGAUGCCAAAUCUCUGUAAAGUUCCUUCAACGAGUCGAGUAGUUUGGGAAUGCUGCUCUAAAUGGGAGGUAUAUGUCUUCUAAAGCUAAAUACCGGCCAGAGACCGAUAGCGCACAAGUAGAGUGAUCGAAAGAUGAAAAGCACUUUGAAAAGAGAGUUAAAAAGUACGUGAAAUUGUUGAAAGGGAAGCGUUUAUGACCAGACUUGGGCUUGGUUAAUCAUCUGGGGUUCUCCCCAGUGCACUUUUCCAGUCCAGGCCAGCAUCAGUUUUCCCCGGGGGAUAAAGGCGGCGGGAAUGUGGCUCUCUUCGGGGAGUGUUAUAGCCCACCGUGUAAUACCCUGGGGGGGACUGAGGUUCGCGCAUCUGCAAGGAUGCUGGCGUAAUGAUCAUCAACGACCCGUCUUGAAACACGGACCAAGGAGUCGUCUUCGUAUGCGAGUGUUCGGGUGUCAAACCCCUACGCGUAAUGAAAGUGAA